GAACACGGACACCUGGAUGCGUAGGUGGAUGCUACUGCACAAUGCCAUAGGCUUUACUACUAGGUCGGGCCUGGUCGACGGACAUCUACGGAACACUGAGCCGCCCUCGCAGAGUCUAAAACUGGACCACCUCGAGCAGAUACAGUCAAAUCUGCCGUUAGCGACCUCUGCUGUAGGCGACCAUCUACCGUUAGCGACCGAUUUUCCGUGCACCGACGGUUUCACAUACAAACUGAUCUGUCCAGAGCGACCAUCUGCUGUGCGCGACCAGCGACCGCGAUUUCAUGCACGGUGGCUGCAUUCAAAUCUGCUGUAAGCGACCGCGAUCCAGGUUCAGUAAGGUGCGAAAAUGUACUUGCCAGUGCGCUGUCAACUGCAAAGUGUGAAAAUGCGCUGUCUUGCAAGCGCGAUCGACUGGCGCCUGGCUUGUACUCAGGCUCUGCUGUAGCUCUCAAGUCCAGGCAGUGUCGAUCUACUGCCGUGUCGCAUACGCGUACUAUACGGGUAUGGUCGUCGUUGAAUAUCCAAUAAAAUGAUAAUUAUUAAAAAUCACAUUAUUCUCGUCGAUUUGAGUACAUGGAAGCAUAUACCUGGUAUGCCGGAUUUACCAUACAUCUGUCGUAAGAGACCAUCUGCCGUAAGCGACCGCUUUUUCUUGCACCAAGGGGCGGUCGCUUACAACAGAUUUGACUGUAAAAGUUUUAAAAGCCUUGAAAAGGCCAGCAAGAUUCCGGCCUUGCAAUCACUCCUACGCGCUAUCAAUGAUUACGCGAAGAGCCAUCUAGGGAAUUUCCCCUUACCUGUCGCAGCCAGCUUGCCGUACAGGUAGGCGAACAUGGCCCCCGCUGCAUUGUAAUAGACGAGCGGAAACAUGGGAGCACCAACAACAUUGUCAUCCGGUAGAAUGAUGCCGGUCUCGUCGAUAUCAAUCAGCGUGUGUGGUGACAUGGCAUCGCGCAGGCUAGUGACAUUGGACACCUGAGACCCAAGCGGCAGAACAUGGGACAACGCAGCUGGGAUGGUAGUGUCUUCUCAAGUUAUCACAAGAAUCGCUCUAGGUAAUGUAUA
Molecule: long non-coding RNA, 1068 nt
Organism: Sycon ciliatum
Lineage: Eukaryota; Metazoa; Porifera; Calcarea; Leucosolenida; Sycettidae
Exons: 2
Source: RefSeq, a predicted model, not a curated record